Molecule: long non-coding RNA, 993 nt
Filed under: Ursus thibetanus thibetanus
Lineage: Eukaryota; Metazoa; Chordata; Mammalia; Carnivora; Ursidae
Description: lncRNA (ENSUTTG00000002724.1)
Source: RNAcentral
UUUCACCGAGCAAAUUUUAAAAAUUUGAUAAAAUCCAAUGUGAUGUUUUUCUUCUUCCGUAGGGUAUGCGGUGGGUGUCCGCGUUUGCGCCACGCACGUGGUGUGUGACCCGCCGGCAGCGGCUUUGGCAAAGCUGGUCGACUGGAUGCCGCACGGCUCGAAGUCUGACCGUUCGCACGGCCCGUUCCGCUCGCUGGUCCCCGGGCCUGUCCUCUGCCUGCACGCACUGUGCCCACCACCGCGGACACGUAGCUCAGCGCGGCGUUUGCAGCUCUUCCGUGAGGAGUGAGGCUCUGCUGGGGGCUGACAGCGGUGUGGACGGUGACCGGUGGAAGUCGCAGCUGUGACCGGGGCUCGCAAAGGUAAGGAGUGUCCUCUUCUAUCUACAGUUUGAUUUGGCGCCACAUCCUGCUUAUUCUACUGACACUUGUUGUCACGGGUCAUACUGUGCACGGUUAGUGCUGCACCAGCGUUGCCACGCGGCCAGCGUGGAGCCGACGCGGGUACGUGGGUUAGUCUGUGUGGCAGUUGGCGCGUGGUCGGUGUGGAGCCAAUGCAGGUACGUGGGUUAGUUUAUGUGGNNNNNNNNNNGCGUGGAGCCGACGUGGGUACGUGGGUUAGUCUGUGUGGUGGUUGGCACGUGGUCAGCAUGGAGCUGACGUGGGUACGUGGGUUAGCCUGUGUGGUGGUUGGCACGUGGUCAGCGUGGAGCUGACGUGGGUACGUGGGUUAGCCUGUGUGGUGGUUGGCACGUGGUCAGCGUGGAGCCAAUGCAGGUACGUGGGUUAGUCUAUGUGGAUGUUGACACACGGUCAGCGUGGAGCUGACGUGGGUACGUGGGUUAGUUUAUGUGGAUGUUGGCGCAUGGUCAGAGUGGAGCUGACAUUGGUGCACGCUUUGCGGUGGUCACAAAGAGGUGUGACCAGACAUUUGAAUAGUUCUCAGAAUGCACCGAGGGUGGGAAGCGGUCUUCCGCCAGGUCCAGGACGACUG